CAAAGAGUAGCUUACGCUAAAGCACUCGACCUACAAUCGAAUAACAUUAAAUAUUAAUCUUUUUGA
RNAcentral lists this transfer RNA (66 nucleotides) under Bungarus fasciatus (banded krait). RNAcentral's name for it is "tRNA-Val". Lineage: Eukaryota; Metazoa; Chordata; Lepidosauria; Squamata; Elapidae. The record is from RNAcentral.